This is a non-coding RNA of Amblyraja radiata (thorny skate), 73 nucleotides long. The record is from the annotation of a RefSeq genome assembly. NCBI's taxonomy places the organism in Eukaryota, Metazoa, Chordata, Chondrichthyes, Rajiformes, Rajidae.
GUUUCUAUAGUGUAGCGGUUAUCACGAUCGCCUCACACGCGAAAGGUCCCCAGUUCGAUCCUGAGCAGAAACA